GAGGGUAUAGCUCAGUGAUAGAGCGUGUGCUCAGCAUGCCUGAAGCCUGGGUUCAAUCCCCAGUACCUACA
Molecule: transfer RNA, 71 nt
Filed under: Camelus bactrianus (Bactrian camel)
Lineage: Eukaryota; Metazoa; Chordata; Mammalia; Artiodactyla; Camelidae
Also listed under: 2 other names
Rfam family: tRNA
About the family: Transfer RNA (tRNA) molecules are approximately 80 nucleotides in length. Their secondary structure includes four short double-helical elements and three loops (D, anti-codon, and T loops).
Source: Rfam by way of RNAcentral